This 278-nucleotide long non-coding RNA is filed under the name Capra hircus (goat). Its description in RNAcentral is "lncRNA (ENSCHIG00000003849.1)". Lineage: Eukaryota; Metazoa; Chordata; Mammalia; Artiodactyla; Bovidae. The record is from RNAcentral.
AAAAAAUGAUGCAAGCCAUUUAUGCACAAAUGUUGCCACUUUCAUAUGGAAACAAGAAACAUCACCUUUCUUUAAGCCAUCAAGAUCUUCCAUCAAAAGACCUUUCACCUUUCUUCACUGAGAAAAUCAAGGACAGCAGACAUGAAUAUAUUCAAGUUUUUCUGCAUCUUUUGUUCAAGGUUAAUUCUUUCCAGAUAGUGUUCAACUUUGGACUUCCUUGGCAGUACAAUGGUUAAGAAUCCACCUUCCAAUGCAGGGGACAUGGAUUUGAUCCCUGG